GCAUAUCAAUAAGCGGAGGAAAAGAAACCAACAGGGAUUGCCUCAGUAACGGCGAGUGAAGCGGCAACAGCUCAAAUUUGAAAUCUGGCCUCUCGGGGUCCGAGUUGUAAUUUGUAGAGGAUGUUUUGGGCACCGCCUCGGUCUAAAUUUCUUGGAACAGAAUGUCAAAGAGGGUGAGAAUCCCGUCUUGGAUCGGCGGUAGGGCCUGUGUAAAACUCCUUCGACGAGUCGAGUUGUUUGGGAAUGCAGCUCAAAUUGGGUGGUAAAUUUCAUCUAAAGCUAAAUAUUGGCCAGAGACCGAUAGCGCACAAGUAGAGUGAUCGAAAGAUGAAAAGCACUUUGAAAAGAGAGUUAAACAGUAUGUGAAAUUGUUGAAAGGGAAGCGCUUGCAACCAGACUUGCGCGCGGUGGUUCCCCUCGCCUUUUGGCUAGGGUACUCCGCCGCGUCCAGGCCAACAUCGGUUCUGGGGGCCAGUUAAAGGCCCUGGGAAUGUACCUACCCACGGGUAGACUUAUAGACCAGGGUGCCAUGUGGCCUCCCGGGACCGAGGAACGCGCUUCGGCUCGGAUGUUGGCGUAAUGGUUGUCAGCGACCCGUCUUGAAACACGGACC
Molecule: ribosomal RNA, 613 nt
Filed under: Cladophialophora tumbae
Lineage: Eukaryota; Fungi; Ascomycota; Eurotiomycetes; Chaetothyriales; Herpotrichiellaceae
Description: eukaryotic LSU rRNA
Rfam family: Eukaryotic large subunit ribosomal RNA
Source: RNAcentral